UACGGGGGGAGCAAGCGUUGUUCGGAUUUACUGGGCGUAAAGGGCGCGUAGGCGCAACAAGUCACUUGUGAAAUCUCCGGGCUUAACUCGGAAAGGUCAAGUGAUACUGUUGUGCUAGAGUGCGGAAGGGGCAACUGGAAUUCUCGGUGUAGCGGUGAAAUGCGUAGAUAUCGAGAGGAACACCUGCGGCGAAGGCGGGUUGCUGGGCCGACACUGACGCUGAUGCGCGAAAGCCAGGGGAGCGAACGGG
RNAcentral lists this ribosomal RNA (250 nucleotides) under uncultured bacterium. RNAcentral describes it as "partial 16S ribosomal RNA". It matches the Rfam family "Bacterial small subunit ribosomal RNA", at positions 524 to 776 of the family's 1533-position model. The record is from RNAcentral.